RNAcentral lists this transfer RNA (87 nucleotides) under Sarcina sp. Its description in RNAcentral is "tRNA-Ser". It matches the Rfam family "tRNA". Rfam says of the family: Transfer RNA (tRNA) molecules are approximately 80 nucleotides in length. Their secondary structure includes four short double-helical elements and three loops (D, anti-codon, and T loops). The record is from RNAcentral. Lineage: Bacteria; Bacillati; Bacillota; Clostridia; Eubacteriales; Clostridiaceae.
GCCGUAGUCCCUCAAAUGGUGGAGGAGCUGCCUGCUAAGCAGCUGGUCGGUUAUACUGGCUUGCAGGUUCAAGUCCUGUGUGCGGCG